Non-coding RNA from Pogona vitticeps (central bearded dragon), 406 nucleotides. The record is from RefSeq and is a predicted model, not a curated record. NCBI's taxonomy places the organism in Eukaryota, Metazoa, Chordata, Lepidosauria, Squamata, Agamidae.
AAACCAUCCGAAGGAAUUUUUAUUGUGCCAGCUUGAUACAGGGAAGAAUGAUGCAAAGAGCAAUAUGAAAGAAUGUUGAUGCACCAAGAACAUGAUACGCAUAGAGAAUGAAGCACUCCAUUGAGGUUACACAUCAAGUCCUGCAUUCUUCUCUUCUUCUAAAAUGUACUUUAGAUGAAACUGAUCAGCAUGAAAGCAGAAUUAGGGAUGUGUUUCAUAAAAGGGGGAGUAGUAAGAGGAGUCAAGAAGCAGCCAUCAGAAUUGUACAGAUCUGGGGAAGAUAUGGAUAAGUUUCAAUUCUUGCAGCCUGAUGAUGUGGACAGGACCCUUGGAGAAGUGAAGGCUACUACAGUACAUGACUGUUGGACCUUGCCCUUCCUGGCUUAAGAAAAUUGCCAGAGAACAA